Molecule: small nucleolar RNA, 89 nt
Organism: Anolis carolinensis (green anole)
Lineage: Eukaryota; Metazoa; Chordata; Lepidosauria; Squamata; Anolidae
Gene: SNORD14
Rfam family: Small nucleolar RNA SNORD14
About the family: U14 small nucleolar RNA (U14 snoRNA) is required for early cleavages of eukaryotic precursor rRNAs. In yeasts, this molecule possess a stem-loop region (known as the Y-domain) which is essential for function. A similar structure, but with a different consensus sequence, is found in plants, but is absent in vertebrates.
Source: Ensembl
UCGCCCUGAUGAUUGAGUCCAAAACCAUUCGUAGUUUCCACCAGAAGCCAACUAAUGAUGGUCCAAACCUUCCUUGGAUGUCUGAGCGA